CUACGGGAUGCUCCAGUGAGGAAUAUUGCACAAUGGGGGGAACCCUGAUGCAGCAACGCCGCGUGGAGGAUGACGCAUUUCGGUGUGUAAACUCCUUUUAUAUGUCAAGAAAAUGACGGUAGCAUAUGAAUAAGCACCGGCUAACUCCGUGCCAGCAGCCGCGGUAAUACGGAGGGUGCAAGCGUUACUCGGAAUCACUGGGCGUAAAGGACGCGUAGGCGGGUUGGAAAGUCAGGUGUGAAAUCCUACAGCUUAACUGUAGAACUGCACUUGAAACUUCUAAUCUAGAGUAUGGGAGGGGGAGAUGGAAUUAGUGGUGUAGGGGUAAAAUCCGUAGAUAUCACUAGGAAUACCUAAAGCGAAGGCGAUCUCCUGGAACAUUACUGACGCUAAGGCGCGAAAGCGUGGGGAGCAAACAGGAUUAGAUACCCUAGUAGUC
Molecule: ribosomal RNA, 439 nt
Filed under: uncultured bacterium
Lineage: Bacteria
Description: partial 16S ribosomal RNA
Rfam family: Bacterial small subunit ribosomal RNA
Source: RNAcentral